GACGAACGCUGGCGGCGUGCCUAAUACAUGCAAGUAGAACGCUGAAGGAGGAGCUUGCUUCUCUGGAUGAGUUGCGAACGGGUGAGUAACGCGUAGGUAACCUGCCUGGUAGCGGGGGAUAACUAUUGGAAACGAUAGCUAAUACCGCAUAAUAGUAGAUGUUGCAUGACAUUUGCUUAAAAGGUGCAAUUGCAUCACUACCAGAUGGACCUGCGUUGUAUUAGCUAGUUGGUGGGGUAACGGCUCACCAAGGCGACGAUACAUAGCCGACCUGAGAGGGUGAUCGGCCACACUGGGACUGAGACACGGCCCAGACUCCUACGGGAGGCAGCAGUAGGGAAUCUUCGGCAAUGGACGGAAGGCUGACCGAGCAACGCCGCGUGAGUGAAGAAGGUUUUCGGAUCGUAAAGCUCUGUUGUAAGAGAAGAACGAGUGUGAGAGUGGAAAGUUCACACUGUGACGGUAUCUUACCAGAAAGGGACGGCUAACUACGUG
This 495-nucleotide ribosomal RNA is filed under the name uncultured bacterium. RNAcentral's name for it is "partial 16S ribosomal RNA". It matches the Rfam family "Bacterial small subunit ribosomal RNA", at positions 28 to 507 of the family's 1533-position model. The record is from RNAcentral.